This is a small nucleolar RNA of Cucurbita maxima (winter squash), 91 nucleotides long. RefSeq annotates it as small nucleolar RNA snoR26. The transcript has a single exon. The record is from RefSeq and is a predicted model, not a curated record. Lineage: Eukaryota; Viridiplantae; Streptophyta; Magnoliopsida; Cucurbitales; Cucurbitaceae.
CCCGCAUCGGUGAUGAAACAAUAUUAUUGUUAUCCUUGCACUUUGAUUUACCAUGAAGAAACCCAUGGGGAAUAUUGUUCCUGAGAUGCUU